AGGACGAACGCUGGCGGCGUGCCUAACACAUGCAAGUCGAACGAAGCAUUGGAGCUGAUCUCUUCGGAGUGACGCACUUAUGGCUUAGUGGCGGACGGGUGAGUAACACGUGAGCAACCUGCCUCUCAGAGUGGAAUAACAGUUGGAAACGGCUGCUAAUACCGCAUAACGUUUUUUGUGCCGCAUGACACUUUAACCAAAGAUUUAUCGCUGAGAGAUGGGCUCGCGUCCGAUUAGGUAGAUGGUGGGGUAACGGCCUACCAUGCCGACGAUCGGUAGCCGGACUGAGAGGUUGAUCGGCCACAUUGGGACUGAGACACGGCCCAGACUCCUACGGGAGGCAGCAGUGGGGGAUAUUGCACAAUGGGCGCAAGCCUGAUGCAGCAACGCCGCGUGCGGGAAGACGGCCUUCGGGUUGUAAACCGCUGUCCUUGGGGAAGAAACAAAUGACGGUACCCAAGAAGGAAGCCACGGCUAACUACGUGCCAGCCGCAGC
This 496-nucleotide ribosomal RNA is filed under the name uncultured bacterium. Its description in RNAcentral is "bacterial SSU rRNA". It matches the Rfam family "Bacterial small subunit ribosomal RNA", at positions 26 to 518 of the family's 1533-position model. The record is from RNAcentral.